AUUGCUUCUCGGCCUUUUGGCUAAGAUCAAGUGUAAAAUUUCAUUUGUGCAUUACAAUUAUAUAUAACACUAUUUAUUGUGUAUGGCCUUGAUACUGAAGAACAGCUUAGCUGAAUCUAAA
RNAcentral lists this small nuclear RNA (121 nucleotides) under Sciurus vulgaris (Eurasian red squirrel). Its description in RNAcentral is "U2 spliceosomal RNA (ENSSVLG00005000850.1)". It matches the Rfam family "U2 spliceosomal RNA". Rfam says of the family: U2 is a small nuclear RNA (snRNA) component of the spliceosome (involved in pre-mRNA splicing). Complementary binding between U2 snRNA (in an area lying towards the 5' end but 3' to hairpin I) and the branchpoint sequence (BPS) of the intron results the bulging out of an unpaired adenosine, on the BPS, which initiates a nucleophilic attack at the intronic 5' splice site, thus starting the first of two transesterification reactions that mediate splicing. The record is from Rfam by way of RNAcentral. Lineage: Eukaryota; Metazoa; Chordata; Mammalia; Rodentia; Sciuridae.